RNAcentral lists this ribosomal RNA (587 nucleotides) under uncultured bacterium. RNAcentral describes it as "bacterial SSU rRNA". It matches the Rfam family "Bacterial small subunit ribosomal RNA", at positions 338 to 917 of the family's 1533-position model. The record is from RNAcentral.
CCUACGGGAGGCAGCAGUCGGGAAUAUUGCGCAAUGGGCGAAAGCCUGACGCAGCCAUGCCGCGUGUGUGAAGAAGGCCCUAGGGUUGUAAAGCACUUUCAAUUGGGAGGAAAAGCUAAUGGUUAAUAACCAUUAGCCCUGACGUUACCUUUAGAAGAAGCACCGGCUAACUCCGUGCCAGCAGCCGCGGUAAUACGGAGGGUGCAAGCGUUAAUCGGAAUUACUGGGCGUAAAGCGCGCGUAGGCGGUUUUUUAAGUCGGAUGUGAAAGCCCCGGGCUCAACCUGGGAACUGCAUCCGAUACUGGAUCACUAGAAUGCGGGAGAGGGAGGUAGAAUUCCAUGUGUAGCAGUGAAAUGCGUAGAUAUAUGGAGGAAUACCAGUGGCGAAGGCGGCCUCCUGGCUCGACAUUGACGCUGAGGUGCGAAAGCGUGGGGAGCAAACGGGAUUAGAUACCCCGGUAGUCCACGCCGUAAACGAUGUCUACUAGCUGUAGGGGUACUUGAGACCUUUGUAGCGCAGCUAACGCAAUAAGUAGACCGCCUGGGGAGUACGGCCGCAAGGUUAAAACUCAAAUGAAUUGACGGA